UACGAGGGGGGCAAGCGUUGUUCGGAAUUACUGGGCGUAAAGGGCGUGUAGGCGGUUUCGUAUGUCUGGCGUGAAAGCCCCGGGCUCACCUCGGGAAGUGCGUCGGAAACUGCGAGACUAGAGUCCCGGAGAGGGAGGUGGAAUUCCAGGUGUAGCGGUGAAAUGCGUAGAUAUGUGGAAGAACACCGGUGGCGAAGGCGGCCCCCUGGACGGUGACUGACGCUGAGACGCGAAAGCGUGGGGAGCAAACAGG
Molecule: ribosomal RNA, 253 nt
Filed under: uncultured bacterium
Lineage: Bacteria
Description: partial 16S ribosomal RNA
Rfam family: Bacterial small subunit ribosomal RNA
Source: RNAcentral